GAACUAAGCAUAUCAAUAAGCGGAGGAAAAGAAACCAACAGGGAUUGCCUCAGUAACGGCGAGUGAAGCGGCAACAGCUCAAAUUUGAAAUCUGACCCCUUCGGGGCCCGAGUUGUAAUUUGUAGAGGAUGCUUCGGGUGCGGCGCCGGUCUAAGUUCCUUGGAACAGGACGUCAUAGAGGGUGAGAAUCCCGUAUGCGACCGGCGGUCAACCCCAUGUGAAGCCCCUUCGACGAGUCGAGUUGUUUGGGAAUGCAGCUCAAAAUGGGUGGUGAAUUUCAUCUAAAGCUAAAUACCGGCCAGAGACCGAUAGCGCACAAGUAGAGUGAUCGAAAGAUGAAAAGCACUUUGGAAAGAGAGUCAAACAGUACGUGAAAUUGUUGAAAGGGAAGCGCUUGCAACCAGACCUGCCCCCGGGCGAUCAGCCGUUAUUUUUAGCGGUGCACUCGUCCGCGAUCAGGCCAGCAUCGGUUCGGGCGGCCGGAUAAAGGCCUCGGGAAUGUAGCUCCCCCCGGGGAGUCUUAUAGCCCGAGGUGCAAUGCGGCCAGCCCGGACCGAGGACCGCGCUUCGGCUAGGAUGCUGGCGUAAUGGUUGUAAGCGACCCGUCUUGAAACACGGACC
This 621-nucleotide ribosomal RNA is filed under the name Porpidia melinodes. RNAcentral describes it as "LSU rRNA". It matches the Rfam family "Eukaryotic large subunit ribosomal RNA", at positions 31 to 667 of the family's 3401-position model. The record is from RNAcentral. Lineage: Eukaryota; Fungi; Ascomycota; Lecanoromycetes; Lecideales; Lecideaceae.